UCUCAACUCUAAACCCUAAAACCUAAACUCUAAACCCUAAACCCUAAAUUCUAAACCCUAAACCCCACCCCUUAAGUGCUAUUUUGUGACUUUUGGCCUUGAGUGCUAGUUUGGGAACAAAAACUUGAUUUAGUGCUAUUUUGGUCUUUUUCUCUUUCUAAUUAGACUGGAGAUAUAUAUCUAAACUGUAAUCACCAAGAAGACUUUAUCAAGAACACACCAUUUAUAGUUGUAAACAACAUGUUGUGGCUUUUGUUUGUUUUGCGUCAAGUCUAACCACUAAUGCGAAUGAUACAUCCGGCUAUUCCAGUAGUGAGAUAUUAGAUGGUGUUUUUGUUUACGGACUCGAACUACUGUCGAACAUAAAGAAGAGAAGAGAGAUGAUGUUUUUAUCUUCUUCAUUACGACAAAUAAGAAUCAUUCUGAAUUAGAGUUCCUCAAGAUAAAAAUAAUCUCACUUCCCACUCUAAGAAUGUUUUUUCGUCUUCAUCAGGACCAAUCAAAACAUUUCUAUAAUAU
Long non-coding RNA from Brassica rapa (field mustard), 519 nucleotides. RefSeq lists it as uncharacterized. The record is from RefSeq and is a predicted model, not a curated record. NCBI's taxonomy places the organism in Eukaryota, Viridiplantae, Streptophyta, Magnoliopsida, Brassicales, Brassicaceae.